CAAGAGUAGAUUACUGCAUAGACUUCUUUUCAAGUACACAAGGGAAUGACUGAAUUUCCUGGAAAGAGGUCUCUGCAGAGUCAUUCAGCGACAUACAAGGUUGUUGGCUCACUUCGAGAGGCUGAUUUUGGAAGGGAAUCUGGGGAGCUGAACAACAGAUAUAGGUCAUUAGGAAAACAAGAAGCUCUUUGUGCUGUUGAUCAAGUCAGAAGGUUGCACUGA
This 222-nucleotide long non-coding RNA is filed under the name Numida meleagris (helmeted guineafowl). RNAcentral's name for it is "lncRNA (ENSNMEG00000014776.1)". The record is from RNAcentral. Lineage: Eukaryota; Metazoa; Chordata; Aves; Galliformes; Numididae.